RNAcentral lists this long non-coding RNA (1792 nucleotides) under Heterocephalus glaber (naked mole-rat). RNAcentral describes it as "lncRNA (ENSHGLG00000037240.1)". The record is from RNAcentral. Lineage: Eukaryota; Metazoa; Chordata; Mammalia; Rodentia; Bathyergidae.
CUUCUCUUCUAUGUCAGAUCUCUCUCUGCUUCUCUUACUGGAAGGAUGUUUGGAAGUGCAUUUAAAGUCACCUGUAUAGUCCAAGUCCCCAUCUUAACAUCCUGAAACAGUUACAUUUGCAGAGUGUUUUGCUGUAAGUAUAAGGUAACCUUACAGGUUCCAGCGAUUAGGACAUGGAUCUCUCUUCUAGGACUUUUUGGCCCAUAAAGCCACCAUCAUCUUUGCUGUGGUCUGAGUCCGUGCCCUUCUAAUGAGUCUGCCUUCUCCUUUUACUGUUAUCACCAAGUAGGAAAGUGACUUUGAGGGAGCAGGUCUCUAGCUUAAAACCUUGCCAUUCUCCUUUAAAGCCUUUUAAAUCCUUAUUGUUGCCACAAGGCCCUAUUUGAGCUGAUCCUUGGCUGCUGCUGAAGUAGCUCCAUCCACAUUUCCCCACAUUGUCCCCUCUCCUAACCACAACAUCUCCUUGCUAUUUCUAACAUAUGCCAAGCGUACUGGAGGGGUUCUUUUUUCUCUGAAGAGAACUUAUCAUACUUCUUCAUGUCGUUGCUUCCUUCUCAUCAUGUAAACCUCAGCUGCAAAGUUACCCAUUCAGAAAUGUAUCUUUAUUCUCUACCCCACUUGCCCCUGUUCUUUUUAAAGUUUUUAUUAGUGCAUGUUUGCAGUAGAUACGGUUCCAUUCAUUGUAGGGAAUUGGUUCAUGUACAUAGCACAACUCAAUUCUGUUUUUUCCCCUUCCCCCUUUUAUUUUUUUGCCAGCAUCAUAUUAAUUUAUCUUAUACAUCCUUAUAAAGUUAAUUAUUGUACAUACAGAUUAACAAUCAUCUCCCCAUUCUAUCUCCUUAACAGUACUCAGUCGUUCUCUGAAAUUGUCUUAGGGACUUGUCUGUUGGUGUAUGAUUGCUUGGCUAGCCCAGGCUUCUCUACAACCUAGACACCCCAAACGGCAUGGAAUCCACCCAGGGGUGACCCACCCACUCUUGGGGUAAGCCCAGAUGUCCUGUCCACGUUCCUCAUGAUUUGUGUACCAACCAGUGAUUCAACGUACCUGUCUGACUGGUAAAAGAUGGGAAGGAAGAUCACCCACCUUGUUCCAGAUGUCUGUAAAACUCUAGUUUCCGUGUCCCUUGGCGUGAAAUUGGCACAGGAGGAAAAGACAUAACACUCCCAGCCCUGCUAGUAUCUGAAGCUCGAGUUCGUGUUCUCUAAAAUCGAAGAAUGAAUUCUAGGAACAGUGGAGGUUGAGUAGGAAAAUUUAAUGAAAGAAAGCUACUGUCUAAGAGAGACAAAGGGGACCAGAAAGUGGAUUGCCCGGCCGGCCACCCCACUUUUCAAAGGUGUUUUGUACAGCAAAGCCGUGUGGUGAGGCAGGUACAAAGCAGGACAAAAGUAUAAGACCCAGUGGAAAUUUACGAGGUGGGCAUGAGGUGGGACAAAACUGUGACCAACCAAUAAGAUUACAAAUACAGUCGCCCAGGUAAUACUGAUUAAAUGGAAGUCAAAUGGGGGAGCAAGUCACAGAGCAAGCGUGGAAGGAACUGAGCAAGGAUUUUUAGUGGAAAGGGGUGGGUCAGGGAUCUAUCUUGAUCUUUGUCCCCCACCCAGGUGGUUGAUACCUAUUUAGAAUAUCAAUCACUGCUGUUCAUCCUUAGGGGAGGCAUGUGGGAGUGGUAGUUUCUGUGUUUUUAUAGUGCUGGCCUUCAGUGAAUGUGUCUUGCUUGUCCUCCCUGUUGGCUCCUUCUGGAGUGGCUCCAACUGCCUACAAGAUAUUUAAUUAACUUACCUACCUGCAAUA